This is a transfer RNA of Hypholoma sublateritium FD-334 SS-4, 81 nucleotides long. It matches the Rfam family "tRNA". Rfam says of the family: Transfer RNA (tRNA) molecules are approximately 80 nucleotides in length. Their secondary structure includes four short double-helical elements and three loops (D, anti-codon, and T loops). Lineage: Eukaryota; Fungi; Basidiomycota; Agaricomycetes; Agaricales; Strophariaceae. The record is from Rfam.
GGUCCCCUGGCUCAGUGGUAGAGCGUAGGAUUCCAGCUAGGAAGCACCCUAAGGUCAUCUGUUCAAUCCAGGUGGGGAUCA